Molecule: non-coding RNA, 29 nt
Filed under: Mus musculus (house mouse)
Lineage: Eukaryota; Metazoa; Chordata; Mammalia; Rodentia; Muridae
Source: RNAcentral
UCCAAAUUUAUAAGAGGGGCCACUUCUGA